GUUUAGCUGUACAAAAGACAUCCAGCAACAUGUCUUUCGAUGAAACAUCGGCCGAUCGCAAUGUGGAGAUUUGGAAGAUCAAAAAGCUCAUUAAAAGCUUGGAAAUGGCCAGAGGUAAUGGAACGAGUAUGAUUUCUUUAAUCAUACCUCCUAAGGAUCAAAUCAGUCGCGUAAGCAAAAUGCUUGCCGAUGAGUUUGGAACCGCAUCAAAUAUUAAAUCCCGUGUAAACCGUCUAUCUGUUCUCGGCGCAAUUACGUCUGUUCAACACAGAUUAAAACUAUACACCAAAGUGCCUCCAAAUGGAUUAGUCAUUUACUGUGGUACAAUCGUGACUGAAGAGGGGAAGGAAAAAAAGGUUAACAUCGAUUUUGAACCGUUCAAACCAAUCAAUACCUCCCUUUAUUUAUGUGACAACAAAUUUCACACUGAAGCACUAACUGCACUUCUGGCCGAUGACAAUAAGUUCGGCUUUAUUGUUAUGGAUGGUAAUGGAGCUCUGUUUGGCACGCUGCAGGGAAACACUCGUGAGGUGCUUCAUAAAUUUACAGUCGACCUACCGAAAAAGCAUGGGCGUGGUGGACAGUCGGCGUUGCGUUUUGCAAGAUUGCGAAUGGAAAAACGUCACAAUUACGUACGAAAAGUAGCUGAGGUUGCAACACAACUGUUCAUUACCAAUGAUAAACCCAACAUUGCCGGAUUGAUUUUGGCCGGUAGUGCAGACUUUAAAACUGAGCUUAGCCAGUCUGAUAUGUUCGAUCCAAGAUUGCAAUCAAAAGUUAUAAAACUUGUUGAUGUGUCUUAUGGAGGAGAGAAUGGUUUUAAUCAGGCAAUUGAGCUAGCAGCUGAGUCUUUACAAAAUGUUAAAUUUAUUCAAGAAAAAAAACUUAUUGGUAGAUAUUUUGAUGAAAUAUCUCAGGAUACUGGCAAAUACUGCUUUGGUGUGGAAGAUACUCUUAAGGCCCUGGAGUUAGGAUCUGUAGAAACACUUAUAUGCUGGGAAAAUCUGGAUAUUCAGCGUUACGUUUUGAAGAAUCAUGCUAGCGCAACGUCUACGACAGUAUUACACUUAACACCCGAGCAAGAAAAGGACAAAUCUCAUUUCACUGAUAAAGAGAGUGGCGUUGAGAUGGAAUUAGUCGAAUCGCAACCUCUGCUUGAAUGGUUAGCGAACAACUAUAAGUGUUUUGGGGCUACGUUGGAAAUUAUUACGGAUAAAUCACAAGAAGGUAGUCAAUUUGUACGUGGUUUCGGAGGAAUAGGAGGAAUUCUCCGUUAUAAAGUGGAUUUCCAAUCCUUACAAGCAGAUGAACCAUUGGAUGAUGUUGAUUUAGAUGAUUAUUAAUUUGUUUAUCAUUCAUAGUCUAUUACAAGCAUACACUAUAUGCUCAUCAUAAUUGCACUACGAAGAAUUACAAAAGGAUGUCCUUUAUUUAUUUAUCUUAUAUUUUCUUUCAACGUAUCGAUCAAUUUGGUGAUCGAUGCCUUAUAUUGGCUUUAAAGCCAAGUAAUAUGUCUAUACAUUUGUGCCAUUCAGUUCUUGCUACGCGGUUUAACUCAUAAUUGAUGGUUCAAUAUCAAAAAUAUUAUAUUACUGCCAUUUGAGCUAAGCAACGUCCGUACUCCGUCACGGUUCGUAGGAGAGAGCCCCGAACGCUCUCUUCCUUGCACCCACGAUGCUAUGCCCUCCACCCGAGCGGCACUCAUCACUUCGUUCCCAGGGGCCGGCAACCUAUCUUGUACUCUACAACACUUAUAGCUUUCACUUGGAUGACUUCAAUAAUGGAAUACUUCGUUAUAAGGUAGACUUUCAAAGCAUGCAGCUGGAUGAAUUGGAUAAUGAUUGUUUCGACCUGGAAGACUAUUAAAUAACAACAAGCUGUUUUAAAAGUGCAUGAUUGACUAUACAUGCUAAUGGAAUAAUAGUGAUGUACACCUCUUAAUAUCCAUCUUAAAAAUUAAAAAUAUAUAAAGCAAAGGAUAAAUUUGUAAGAUCCCGUUCGAAAUUGGAGAGAUUUAAAAACUUCCAUAAAUACACCAUUCUCGCAGAAAGCGAGAAAAUUAAAAAAAGUCAGUUAUACGAUUUAUGUAGGCACGAAGUAUAAA
Anopheles arabiensis is the source of this 2104-nucleotide RNA transcript. It is a transcript of the gene named eukaryotic peptide chain release factor subunit 1, with no coding region annotated. Lineage: Eukaryota; Metazoa; Arthropoda; Insecta; Diptera; Culicidae. The transcript has 9 exons. The record is from RefSeq and is a predicted model, not a curated record.